RNAcentral lists this ribosomal RNA (609 nucleotides) under Asteroidea sp. RCMBAR028. RNAcentral's name for it is "partial 16S ribosomal RNA". It matches the Rfam family "Bacterial large subunit ribosomal RNA", at positions 1818 to 2597 of the family's 2925-position model. The record is from RNAcentral. Lineage: Eukaryota; Metazoa; Echinodermata; Asteroidea.
GCUCCUUGUAAAACAGAUUGAUACAUAAGGAGUACUGCCUGCCCAGUGACUUAUUGAAGUUAAACGGCCGCGGUAUUUUGACCGUGCAAAGGUAGCAUAAUCAUUUGCCCUUUAAUUGGGGGCUGGAAUGAAUGGCAAGACGGAAAUUAAACUGUCUCCCUAUCAAUUUCUCUGAACCUCAUAUCUUUGUGAAGAAGCGAAGAUAGGAUCGUAAGACGAGAAGACCCUGUCGAGCUUUAACGUAUGAUAUCCUCUUAGUGCAGGCUUCUAUUUAGCUAAUUCUAGCUUUGUUAAAGGUCCAACUUAGUUUUACUAAAGAGAGACUUGGUGAGUGAUACACGCUCGUUUUGGUUGGGGCAACCGCGGAGAAUAAUGAUCCUCCGCUAAUUUAACACGUGAAAAGGUAACUGCUUUACCGGGGAUGGCUCCUAACUGUUUUGAUCCGCUUAUGUUUAAAGCGAUAAAAGGAAUAAGUUACCGCAGGGAUAACAGCGUAAUUCUUUUGGAGAGUCCGUAUUGAUAAAAGAGUUUGCGACCUCGAUGUUGGAUCGGGAUAUCCUAAAAGUGCAGCAGCUUUUGAGGGUUGGUCUGUUCGACCAUUAAAAUCCU